This 253-nucleotide ribosomal RNA is filed under the name uncultured bacterium. RNAcentral describes it as "partial 16S ribosomal RNA". It matches the Rfam family "Bacterial small subunit ribosomal RNA", at positions 524 to 776 of the family's 1533-position model. The record is from RNAcentral.
UACGAAGGGUGCAAGCGUUACUCGGAAUUACUAGGCGUAAAGCGUGCGUAGGUGGUUCGUUAAGUCUGUCGUGAAAGCCCCGGGCUCAGCCUGGGAAUGGCGAUGGAUACUGGCGAGCUAGAGUGCGGUAGAGGAGAGUGGAAUUCCCGGUGUAGCAGUGAAAUGCGUAGAGAUCGGGAGGAACAUCAGUUGCGAAGGCGGCUCUCUGGACCAGCACUGACACUGAGGCACGAAAGCGUGGGGAGCAAACAGG